AGUGGCGAACGGGUGAGUAACGCGUGGAUGAUCUACCUACGAGAUGGGGAUAACUAUUAGAAAUAGUAGCUAAUACCGAAUAAAGUCAAUUAAUUUGUUAAUUGAUGAAAGGAAGYCUCUAAAGCUUUGCUUGUAGAUGAGUCUGCGUCUUAUUAGUUAGUUGGUAGGGUAAAUGCCUACCAAGGCGAUGAUAAGUAACCGGCCUGAGAGGGUGAACGGUCACACUGGAACUGAGAUACGGUCCAGACUCCUACGGGAGGCAGCAGCUAAGAAUCUUCCGCAAUGGGCGAAAGCCUGACGGAGCGACACUGCGUGAAUGAAGAAGGUCGAAAGAUUGUAAAAUUCUUUUAUAAAUGAGGAAUAAGCUUUGUAGGAAAUGACGAAGUGAUGACGUUAAUUUAUGAAUAAGCCCCGGCUAAUUACGUGCCAGCAGCCGCGGUAAUACGUAAGGGGCGAGCGUUGUUCGGGAUUAUUGGGCGUAAAGGGUGAGUAGGCGGAUAUAUAAGUCUAUGCAUAAAAUACCACAGCUCAACUGUGGAACUAUGUUGGAAACUAUAUGUCUAGAGUCUGAUA
RNAcentral lists this ribosomal RNA (573 nucleotides) under Borreliella garinii. RNAcentral's name for it is "bacterial SSU rRNA". The record is from RNAcentral. Lineage: Bacteria; Pseudomonadati; Spirochaetota; Spirochaetia; Spirochaetales; Borreliaceae.